GAUGAACGCUGGCGGCGUGCCUAAUACAUGCAAGUCGAGCGAACUGAUUAGAAGCUUGCUUCUAUGACGUUAGCGGCGGACGGGUGAGUAACACGUGGGCAACCUGCCUGUAAGACUGGGAUAACUUCGGGAAACCGAAGCUAAUACCGGAUAGGAUCUUCUCCUUCAUGGGAGAUGAUUGAAAGAUGGUUUCGGCUAUCACUUACAGAUGGGCCCGCAGUGCAUUAGCUAGUUGGUGAGGUAACGGCUCACCAAGGCAACGAUGCAUAGCCGACCUGAGAGGGUGAUCGGCCACACUGGGACUGAGACACGGCCCAGACUCCUACGGGAGGCAGCAGUAGGGAAUCUUCCGCAAUGGACGAAAGUCUGACGGAGCAACGCCGCGUGAGUGAUGAAGGCUUUCGGGUCGUAAAACUCUGUUGUUAGGGAAGAACAAGUACAAGUGUAACUGCUUGUACCUUGACGGUACCUAACCAGAAAGCCACGGCUAACUACGUGCCAGCCGCCGCCGUAA
RNAcentral lists this ribosomal RNA (514 nucleotides) under uncultured bacterium. Its description in RNAcentral is "partial 16S ribosomal RNA". It matches the Rfam family "Bacterial small subunit ribosomal RNA", at positions 28 to 523 of the family's 1533-position model. The record is from RNAcentral.